RNAcentral lists this transfer RNA (72 nucleotides) under Ornithorhynchus anatinus (platypus). It matches the Rfam family "tRNA". From Rfam's summary of the family: Transfer RNA (tRNA) molecules are approximately 80 nucleotides in length. Their secondary structure includes four short double-helical elements and three loops (D, anti-codon, and T loops). Lineage: Eukaryota; Metazoa; Chordata; Mammalia; Monotremata; Ornithorhynchidae. The record is from Rfam by way of RNAcentral.
AGCAGCGUGGCUUAGUGGAAAGAGCUCUGGCUUGGGAGCCAGAGGUCAUGGGUUCUAAUCCUGACUCUGCCC